This 497-nucleotide ribosomal RNA is filed under the name uncultured bacterium. RNAcentral's name for it is "partial 16S ribosomal RNA". It matches the Rfam family "Bacterial small subunit ribosomal RNA", at positions 28 to 507 of the family's 1533-position model. The record is from RNAcentral.
GAUGAACGCUGGCGGCGUGCCUAAUACAUGCAAGUCGAGCGAACAGAUGAGGAGCUUGCUCCUCUGACGUUAGCGGCGGACGGGUGAGUAACACGUGGAUAACCUACCUAUAAGACUGGGAUAACUUCGGGAAACCUGAGCUAAUACCGGAUAAUAUAUUGAACCGCAUGGUUCAAUAGUGAAAGACGGUUUUGCUGUCACUUAUAGAUGGAUCCGCGCCGCAUUAGCUAGUUGGUAAGGUAACGGCUUACCAAGGCAACGAUGCGUAGCCGACCUGAGAGGGUGAUCGGCCACACUGGAACUGAGACACGGUCCAGACUCCUACGGGAGGCAGCAGUAGGGAAUCUUCCGCAAUGGGCGAAAGCCUGACGGAGCAACGCCGCGUGAGUGAUGAAGGUCUUCGGAUCGUAAAGCUCUGUUAUUAGGGAAGAACAAAUGUGUAAGUAACUAUGCACGUCUUGACGGUACCUAAUCAGAAAGCCACGGCUAACUACGUG